GAUGAAGAACGUAGCGAAAUGCGAUAAGUAAUGUGAAUUGCAGAAUUCAGUGAAUCAUCGAAUCUUUGAACGCACAUAGCGCCCGCCAGUAUUCUGGCGGGCAUGCCUGUUCGAGCGUCAUUUCAACCAUCAAGCCCCCGGCUUGUGUUGGGGACCUGCGGCUGCCGCAGGCCCUGAAAAUCAGUGGCGGGCUCGCUAGUCACUCCGAGCGUAGUAAUACAUCUCGCUCAGGGCGUGCUGCGGGUUCCGGCCGUUAAAAGCCUUAUUUACCCAAGGUUGACCUCGGAUCAGGUAGGAAGACCCGCUGAACUUAAGCAUAUCAAUAAGCGGAGGA
This 334-nucleotide unclassified non-coding RNA is filed under the name soil metagenome. Its description in RNAcentral is "partial contains 5.8S ribosomal RNA, internal transcribed spacer 2, and large subunit ribosomal RNA". The stretch from base 1 to 120 matches the Rfam family "5.8S ribosomal RNA", at positions 35 to 154 of the family's 154-position model. The record is from RNAcentral.